This 458-nucleotide long non-coding RNA is filed under the name Malus domestica (apple). RNAcentral's name for it is "long non-coding RNA (MDOM_LNC002010)". The record is from RNAcentral. Lineage: Eukaryota; Viridiplantae; Streptophyta; Magnoliopsida; Rosales; Rosaceae.
UUUCCCUUUUUCCCCUUCUCCAAUCUCUCUGUAACCUUAUUUCUCCACCCGCAUCUCCAUCCUCCUUUCCCUUUUUUCCCCAUGUCCCUCCGCCUCUCCCUCCUAUUUCCCUUUUCUCCAAUCUCUGUAAACUUACUUGUCCCUACGCCUCUCCAACUUCCAGCUUUCAUUGAAUCCCAUGCCGUAGAAAAUCGAGGUCGAUGAACCCAGGGCAGCGAAGCAGACGAAGGAGAUAAAGAUGCAGCGAGAGUGGACGAAGGCAAGAGAGGACGAUGGAAGGUCUUAGCUAGUCCUAUGGGUGUCGGGGUCUCUCGCUAAGACCGGCUAGUGAAGGCGUUUGUGAAAGCGAGUCCCACCUAGUGCCAUUAAUGUUAGUCUCGCCAGCCACCAAACACAGGAUUAUAGUCCUAUUUAAGCUAGUCCAAGCCAGUCCCUCCUAAGGAGCUAUAACAAACGCC